This 107-nucleotide small nuclear RNA is filed under the name Galleria mellonella (greater wax moth). Lineage: Eukaryota; Metazoa; Arthropoda; Insecta; Lepidoptera; Pyralidae. The record is from RNAcentral.
UUACUUGCUUUGGUAGUACAUAUACUAAAAUUGGAACGAUACAGAGAAGAUUAGCAUGAUCCCUGCGCAAGGAUGACAUGCAUAAUUAUGAAGUGUGCCACAUUUUU